Molecule: ribosomal RNA, 263 nt
Filed under: uncultured bacterium
Lineage: Bacteria
Description: partial 16S ribosomal RNA
Rfam family: Bacterial small subunit ribosomal RNA
Source: RNAcentral
GUCCACGCUGUAAACGAUGAGCACUAGGUGUGGGGAGUGUUAAACUGUCCGUGCCGAAGCCAACGCGUUAAGUGCUCCGCCUGGGGAGUACGGCCGCAAGGCUAAAACUCAAAGGAAUUGACGGGGCCCGCACAAGCAGCGGAGCGUGUGGUUUAAUUCGAUGCGACGCGAAGAACCUUACCUGGGUUUGACAUGCACGUAGUAGUGAAGCGAAAGCGGAACGACCCUUCGGGGAGCGUGCACAGGUGUUGCAUGGCUGUCGU